GCAAGUCUGGUGCCAGCAGCCGCGGUAAUUCCAGCUCCAAUAGCGUAUAUUAAAGUUGUUGCAGUUAAAAAGCUCGUAGUUGAAUUUCGGGAUCAAUAUUUCGGUCAUGCCGUUGGUAUGCACUGUUAUCAUUGAUUUCUCACCUUCUAAAGAACCAUAAUGCCAUUAAUUUGGUGUUACGGGGAAUUAGGACUGUUACCUUGAAAAAAUUAGAGUGUUUAAAGCAGGCUCACGCUUGAAUACAUUAGCAUGGAAUAAUGAAAUAGGACAUCCGAUUCUAUUUUGUUGGUUUCUAGGAUCGAUGUAAUGAUUAAUAGGGAUAGUUGGGGGCAUUAGUAUUCAAUUGUCAGAGGUGAAAUUCUUGGAUUUAUUGAAGACUAACUACUGCGAAAGCAUUUGCCAAGGAUGUUUUCAUUAAUCAAGAACGAAAGUUAGGGGAUCGAAGACGAUCAGAUACCGUCGUAGUCUUAACCAUAAACUAUGCCGACCAGGGAUCGGAUGAUGUUAAUUUUUUAAUGACUCAUUCGGCGCCUUACGGGAAAC
This 543-nucleotide ribosomal RNA is filed under the name uncultured Glomeromycotina. RNAcentral's name for it is "SSU rRNA". It matches the Rfam family "Eukaryotic small subunit ribosomal RNA", at positions 555 to 1098 of the family's 1831-position model. Lineage: Eukaryota; Fungi; Glomeromycota. The record is from RNAcentral.